UCACAGUUAGAUUUUUGAUUUUAAUUUUGAGUCUACUAUGAUCUGCUCAAUACGAACAUAACUGUAAUACUGAAUUUGCAUUUUUUGUCUUUAAUUUUGCUACGGUAAAGUAGGGCUACUUUGUGACACUACAGCCUAAUUUGUGACAUUGCCACUUUUAAUUAAAAUUAAUUUUUUACCAGGUCGCUAAAAACGAUAGAACCAUUUAAAUUUCAUAUAACAAUAGUGUACCGGGUGCGCCAUCUAGGUCAAUAUGACAAAAGCCGGUAGCAAAACAUCGCUCCUCAUACCAGAGCAGAGUUGAAAAUUAGGCAAACAGAUGUUUUUCGAUUUGUGUGUAAACUUUCUAUUGAACACAAAAAACCGUGAAAGAUUUUUUAACUAAGAUACAAUGCCAAGGGCGUACAAAGAAAAUUGGCUGCCGCAGCUACAAAAACUAUACAGAAGAAACGUUAGCUGAAGCUCUUAAUGAUAUAAAAAAUAAACGAAUAUCAUUACGCGGUGCUGCGGAAAAAUAUUGUAUACAUCGAAAUAAUUUAUGGCUGAAAAUUAAAGAACGGCACAAAAACAGGCCUGGACAACAAAAAGUAUUUACCGACCAAGAAGAAGAUGCCUUUGCCGCCCAUAUUAUCACUGUGUCAACUUUUGGUUUUCCCGUAAGCACAUUUGAUCUAAGAUGUAUAGUUAAAUCGUAUAUAGAACGUCAAGGCAAAAAAGUUAAGCCUUUUUAAAACAAUAUGCCAGGACCUGAUUGGGUCAAGUUCUUUUUAAAGCGACAACCACAGCUUUCACAGAGAAUCGCACAGAAUAUUACACAUGCUACUGAUGAAGAAACUGUAAAAAAUUUCUUUGAUAAUUUGGAGGCUGAGUUAGAAGGAAUUCCUGCAGAAAAUAUAUGGAAUUAUGACGAAACAAACCUUGUUGACGACCCAGGCCAGACAAAAAUAAUAACCAAAAGGGGAACAAAGUACCCUGAGUGAAUCAGAAACUCUUCCAAAGCCUGUACUUCUCUAAUGGUAUGCGGAAAUGCCGAGGGUCAAUUAGCUCCACUUUAUAUUAAUUAUAAAUCUCAAAACCCGCAAACGCGCGAUAUAAUAGAACGGCUUCGGGAUGGUUUGACUACCAAGUUUUUGAGAAUUAGUUUUUAAAUCUUAUGCUGCCAAUAUUAAAACGCCAAGAAGGGCGAAAGGCCCUUAUAGGAGAUAAUCUUAGCUCGCAUUUAAAUCAGCAGGUCAUUCAAGCAUGUGAAGCUAAUAAUAUUCGCUUUAUACCUUUACCUCCUAAUACAACGCAUCUACUCCAACCACUUGACGUGGCCUUUUUCCGCCCAAUGAAGGAAAAAUGGCGCAAAAUUUUAAACGAGUGGAAGGCAAGCCACUACGGUAGCAGAGUCUCUUCCAUACCAAAGGAUGAAUUUCCAAGCCUUUUAAAAAAGCUGAUGAGUUAGUUAGAAGAAAGAGGACCUGAUAGCCUAAGAUCUGGUUUUAGAAAGACAGGCAUUUAUCCUUUAGAUGGAAACGAGGUCAUGGACCGUUUAUGCACUCGUAUUGUAACAGCAGAUACCGAAAUAGCUAAGGUUGUGGGUAAUAGUUUUAUUUAACACCUUACCAAUGUAAGGACUGACGCAACCAAAGGGAGGCAGAUCAAAAGAAGAAAGCGGCUAAACAUUCCACCAGGUCAAAGCAUAAGUAGUAGUGAUUUUAACAUCCAAUCUGCUGCCAUUUCUGCUGAGAAUACGCAAAACAACGAUGACCCUCAACCUGGACCCUCCGGCAUUCAACAAAAGAAACGCCUAAAAAGCGGUCGAGGUAAUGGAUCAACAUCAGAUAGUUCCAGUGAAAAUCAGGACCAAAUUAAAUACAUGGAAAGUGAUGACAGUCCAUGGGAUGAACAUUUUUCCAGUGAUGAAGAUGAACGGGUACUUAAAGAAAGAACUGUAGCCCAAAAAGCAGAAAAGUCAGAGGGAAAGUACGUCGUUGUUAAAUUUGAAGGAAAGUAUUUUACAGGUCAAGUUACGACCGUAUACAGCAUAGGAGCGACAGUAAAUGUGACGGAACGUGUUGGAAAGCAGUGGAAGUGGCCUCAAAAGAAAGACGAGAUAUUUUAUAAAAAUGAUGUGAAAUGAUAUCACAGGUGUAUCAUAUAUUAUUUACCACCAGUUUUAUUCCUUAGUUUUCUUUUGUUUAAAGUUACCUACACAUUAAUAAACAUUUUGUUAAUAUUUUGCAUAAGAGCAUUUAGACAUGCAAAAUAAAAGUUAUUUUGUAAUUA
Long non-coding RNA from Anthonomus grandis grandis, 2271 nucleotides. RefSeq lists it as uncharacterized. The record is from RefSeq and is a predicted model, not a curated record. The transcript is spliced from 2 exons. NCBI's taxonomy places the organism in Eukaryota, Metazoa, Arthropoda, Insecta, Coleoptera, Curculionidae.